Molecule: ribosomal RNA, 497 nt
Filed under: uncultured bacterium
Lineage: Bacteria
Description: partial 16S ribosomal RNA
Rfam family: Bacterial small subunit ribosomal RNA
Source: RNAcentral
GACGAACGCUGGCGGCGUGCCUAAUACAUGCAAGUUGAGCGAUGAAGAUUGGUGCUUGCACCAAUUUGAAGAGCAGCGAACGGGUGAGUAACGCGUGGGGAAUCUGCCUUUGAGCGGGGGACAACAUUUGGAAACGAAUGCUAAUACCGCAUAACAACUUUAAACAUAAGUUUUAAGUUUGAAAGAUGCAAUUGCAUCACUCAAAGAUGAUCCCGCGUUGUAUUAGCUAGUUGGUGAGGUAAAGGCUCACCAAGGCGAUGAUACAUAGCCGACCUGAGAGGGUGAUAGGCCACAUUGGGACUGAGACACGGCCCAAACUCCUACGGGAGGCAGCAGUAGGGCAUCUUCGGCGAUGGACGAAAGUCUGACCGAGCAACGCCGCGUGAGUGAAGAAGGUUUUCGGAUCGUAAAACUCUGUUGGUAGAGAAGAACGUUGGUGAGAGUGGAAAGCUCAUCAAGUGACGGUAACUACCCAGAAAGGGACGGCUAACUACGUG